Molecule: long non-coding RNA, 412 nt
Filed under: Rattus norvegicus (Norway rat)
Lineage: Eukaryota; Metazoa; Chordata; Mammalia; Rodentia; Muridae
Description: long non-coding RNA NONRATT010493
Source: RNAcentral
CAGCAAGCUGGUUUGACCAGAAACAGAACUGCCUAUGACAGAUUAAGAGACAAGCAAGGCUUGGAAUCUGAGAGCAAGCAGAGUGGAAAUUUACUGCAGCUCUCUGUGAGUGUUCAAGUGAUCUUUUCUGCUAACGUUUUCCGGUGGUAACUGUUACUCCUCAGAGUCAGAAAGUCAAGACGGAAUUGUGCUAAGUCUUUCUCUGGCACAUGUGAGUAGGAGGAGGCAUCCUUUAUUAAAUGGAAGAUAAAGGCUACUUCAUCUAAAGUGUUUUGAACUUGAGAAAAGAGCUGUUUUCAGCACCUCACCAUGGGUCUGCUUAUUGUUGCUUAAACAAGCUGGGAGUUUCAUUAGCCCGGGCAUUCCAUAUUGGAAGAAGAGAUUUUUAUAGAUGAAAAAAAUGCCUUUGUUU